UACGUGGGGUCCAAGCGUUAUCCGGAAUUACUGGGCGUAAAGAGUUGCGUAGGCGGCAUAGUAAGCAGAUAGUGAAAGCACCCCGCUCAACGGGGUAAACAUUAUCCGAACUGCUAAGCUAGAGCACGAGAGAGGUAGCUGGAAUUCCCGGUGUAGGAGUGAAAUCCGUAGAUAUCGGGAGGAACACCGAUGGCGUAGGCAGGCUACUGGCUCGUUGCUGACGCUCAUGCACGAAAGCGUGGGGAGCGAACGGG
RNAcentral lists this ribosomal RNA (254 nucleotides) under uncultured prokaryote. RNAcentral's name for it is "partial 16S ribosomal RNA". It matches the Rfam family "Bacterial small subunit ribosomal RNA", at positions 524 to 776 of the family's 1533-position model. The record is from RNAcentral.